RNAcentral lists this ribosomal RNA (305 nucleotides) under uncultured bacterium. RNAcentral describes it as "partial 16S ribosomal RNA". It matches the Rfam family "Bacterial small subunit ribosomal RNA", at positions 333 to 655 of the family's 1533-position model. The record is from RNAcentral.
UGGAGCCUACGGGGGGCAGCAGUGGGGGAUAUUGCACAAUGGGGGGAACCCUGAUGCAGCGACGCCGCGUGGGUGAAGGAGCGUUUCGGCGCGUAAAGCCCUAUCGGCAGGGAAGAAGAUGACGGUACCUGACCAAGAAGCCCCGGCUAACUACGUGCCAGCAGCCGCGGUAAUACGUAGGGGGCAAGCGUUAUCCGGAAUUAUUGGGUGUAAAGGGUGCGUAGACGGGAAAACAAGUUAGUUGUGAAAUCCCUCGGCUUAACUGAGGAACUGCAACUAAAACUAUUUUUCUUGAGUGCAGGAGG